GUCCAAGCCGUAAACGAUGAGCACUAGGGAGAGGAGACCCCGAUGUCUUCUCUCCUGGAGCAAAUGUAUUAAGUGCUCCGCCUGGGGAGUACAGUCGCAAGGCCGAAACUCAAAGGAAUUGACGGGGGCUCACACAAGCGGUGGAGCAUGUGGUUCAAUUCGAAGCAACGCGCAAAACCUUACCUGGGCUUGACAUGCACGGAUUAGCCCCUGGAAACAGGGGUGACACUCGAAAGGGUGGAACGUGCACAGGUGCUGCAUGGCUGUCGU
RNAcentral lists this ribosomal RNA (270 nucleotides) under uncultured bacterium. Its description in RNAcentral is "partial 16S ribosomal RNA". It matches the Rfam family "Bacterial small subunit ribosomal RNA", at positions 793 to 1055 of the family's 1533-position model. The record is from RNAcentral.